RNAcentral lists this ribosomal RNA (866 nucleotides) under Gaeumannomyces walkeri. RNAcentral's name for it is "eukaryotic LSU rRNA". It matches the Rfam family "Eukaryotic large subunit ribosomal RNA", at positions 40 to 937 of the family's 3401-position model. The record is from RNAcentral. Lineage: Eukaryota; Fungi; Ascomycota; Sordariomycetes; Magnaporthales; Magnaporthaceae.
AUAUCAAUAAGCGGAGGAAAAGAAACCAACAGGGAUUGCCCUAGUAACGGCGAGUGAAGCGGCAACAGCUCAAAUUUGAAAUCUGGCCCCAGGCCCGAGUUGUAAUUUGCAGAGGAUGCUUUUGGCAAAGCGCUUACCGAGUCCCCUGGAACGGGGCGCCACAGAGGGUGAGAGCCCCGUAUGGUAUGACGCCGAGCCUCUGUAAAGCUCCUUCGACGAGUCGAGUAGUUUGGGAAUGCUGCUCUAAAUGGGAGGUAAAUUUCUUCUAAAGCUAAAUACCGGCCAGAGACCGAUAGCGCACAAGUAGAGUGAUCGAAAGAUGAAAAGCACUUUGAAAAGAGGGUUAAAUAGCACGUGAAAUUGUUGAAAGGGAAGCGCUCGUGACCAGACUUGCGCCGGGCGGAUCAUCCAGCGUUCUCGCUGGUGCACUCCGCCCGGCUCAGGCCAGCAUCGGUUUUCGCCGGGGGACAAAAGCUUCGGGAACGUGGCUCCCUUCGGGGAGUGUUAUAGCCCGUUGCUCAAUACCCCGGCGGGGACCGAGGACCGCGCUUCGGCAAGGAUGCUGGCGUAAUGGUCAUCAGCGACCCGUCUUGAAACACGGACCGAGGAGUCAAGCAUUAGUGCGAGUGUUUGGGUGUAAAACCCGCACGCGUAAUGAAAGUGAACGUAGGUGAGAGCUUCGGCGCAUCAUCGACCGAUCCUGAUGUUUUCGGAUGGAUUUGAGUAGGAGCAUUAACGCUUGGACCCGAAAGAUGGUGAACUAUACUUGAAUAGGGUGAAGCCAGAGGAAACUCUGGUGGAGGCUCGCAGCGGUUCUGACGUGCAAAUCGAUCGUCAAAUUUGAGUAUAGGGCGAAAGACUAAUCG